AGGAAUGAAGGACCUAUCUUGGACCUCAAGGAUCAGCGUUGGACAGCAAACCAUGGAGGUGGCAGCAAGGUGGCGGGAGGUAACUCAAGUGUUGAUUUCAGAACAUUGAAACCGCCAUAAAGAGAUGAGAAGAAGGCCGCAUCCUCUUCAUCAAUGGGAUUUCGGCCAAGUGGAGGAUUCCCCCUCCAAUGGGUAUCUAUGGGCCAAAGAUGAGGGUUAUAACCUUGUUUUAUUGGGCCUAAGGCCAUGUAAUAGGGUCCAGCCAAUUUUUAGAUGUUUUCGUUGUGUUUUAGGAGGAUUCCUAGGCCGUUUCGGACUCCCACAAGGGCCUGGCCGAAAACCACCUAGUUCCCCUCCUAUUUAUACCCCAGGAGCCCCCCUAUGGAGCCUUGGGUUUUGAUUAGAUAAAGUUUAGCCUUUGCUACUUUCGUGUAAUC
RNAcentral lists this long non-coding RNA (437 nucleotides) under Brachypodium distachyon (stiff brome). RNAcentral describes it as "long non-coding RNA (BDIS_LNC002144)". The record is from RNAcentral. Lineage: Eukaryota; Viridiplantae; Streptophyta; Magnoliopsida; Poales; Poaceae.